This 407-nucleotide ribosomal RNA is filed under the name uncultured bacterium. RNAcentral's name for it is "partial 16S ribosomal RNA". It matches the Rfam family "Bacterial small subunit ribosomal RNA", at positions 28 to 526 of the family's 1533-position model. The record is from RNAcentral.
GAUGAACGCUGGCGGCGUGCCUAAUACAUGCAAGUCGAACGAGUGGCGAACGGGUGAGUAACACGUGGGAAACCUACCCUUCAGCGGGGGAUAACCAUCGGAAACGAUGACUAAUACCGACUACUGAAUGAUGGUCGUGAGGUUCAUUAGUUAGUCGGUGGGGUAACGGCCUACCAGGGCUUUGAUGCAUAGCCGACCGGAGAGGGGGUUCGGCCACAUUGGGACUGAGACACGGCCCAAACUCCUACGGGAGGCAGCAGUAGGGAAUCUUCCGCAAUGGACGCAAGUCUGACUGAGCAACGCCGCGUGUGUGAAGAAGGUCUUCGGAUCGUAAAGCACUGUUAUCAGAGAAGCGGUAUCUGAUCAGAAAGCCACGGCUAACUACGUGCCAGCAGCCGCGGUAAUUC